Molecule: RNA transcript, 3883 nt
Organism: Siniperca chuatsi (mandarin fish)
Lineage: Eukaryota; Metazoa; Chordata; Actinopteri; Centrarchiformes; Sinipercidae
Gene: mthfd1l
Gene name: methylenetetrahydrofolate dehydrogenase (NADP+ dependent) 1 like
Exons: 29
Source: RefSeq, a predicted model, not a curated record
UUGUCACAUGUUUUGGGGUUGUUAGAGUGACGAACUCUGAAAUCAAAUUUCCGACUGCCCUUGAACACAGCGUAGCUCCAUCACGACUCUGUCGCCGCUCAACUUACUUUUUGUUCCUCCAGGAAGUUGAAUCCCUCGCUAACCAUCGCCAGAGAAACAAGGAGAGGACUAAUUUAUUAGCUACAUUUAAAACAACUAAAAGAAACGGCCAUGAAAUUGUCUAUAAUCCGUAGUGCUUGUGGCAGCCUUCGGAUACAUCCAGCCCGUUCAGGGAGCAGGGUUAGCGGCUUGUCGCCGAGAUGCCUACCAGGUCCUGCCAACGGCGGGUUGAUUCUCCGUACGGCAAGCACUGCUACCCGCGGCGGUACCAAACCGAAAUUAGCCGUCAACUUUGGGAAACAGUCCCAAAAGGAUGAUGGGUUUGAAUUCGACAGUGCUUUGAGGAAAAUGGUUCAGAGCACUAAGGAGGCAAUUGUGGCUCUGCAGGGAAGAAAUCCAGCAAUCCAACCUUUGUUAGCCAUUAUACAGGCAGGUGAUGAUGACAGCUUGUUGGAGAUCAAUAAAAAAGUGGCAGGAAAGAUUGGCGUAAACAUCACUCACAUUUGUCUGGCAAAGGAAUACAGUGAAGAUGAAAUUGUAGAGGAGGUGUUGAAGCUGAAUGAAGACCCCAGGGUGCACGGAGUCUACCUCCACCUCCCCCCUGCUUCCCUCACCAGUCGAGUGCUGAACACACUCAAACCUGAGAAGGAUGUAGACGGGAUAUCAGAUUUGAAUAUGGGUCGUCUGGUACGAGGCGAUCUGAGCAAAGGCUUUGUGCCACCCAUAGCCAGCGCUGUCCUGGAUCUCCUGGAGAAACUUGAUGCUCCUUUGGAAGGGAAAACUGUGUUGCUGGUUGGAGGAGAAGGACCCCUUGGUGUGGCCCUGCAGUGCCUGAUUGAAAGAAGUGGAAUGGUAGCUCUCAAGAGUCAUUGGAGCUCCAAGACCCUACAGAGACAGGUGAUGCAAGCUGAUGCUGUGGUCCUGUUAGGGGCAGGGAAUAUGGAUGUCCCACCCACCUGGGUUAAACCAGGGGCUACUGUCAUCCGCUGUGAGCCCCCCCUGGAGACAGAUGAACAUGCAAUUGAGAUGUCCUCAAAGUCUGGGUUAGGAUACCUCACAGCAGCUUACAGAACACAGAAUGUGGUGCAUAGUUGCAGUCGGUGGCUCCAGGAGCAACAGUACCGACCUUGGCAUCUGCGCAGCCUCAAACUGCAGCCCCUGACCCCUGUACCAAGUGACAUAGAGAUUUCCAGAGCUCAGACACCCAAGCCAGUGGACCAGCUGGCUGAGGAGAUUGGUCUGCUGCCAGAAGAGCUUGAAGUCUAUGGCAGGAGCAAAGCUAAGGUCCGACUCUCCCUGUUAGACCGCCUCCACACACAGCCUGAUGGGAAAUAUGUACUGGUUGCUGGUAUAACUCCGACCCCACUGGGUGAAGGUAAAAGCACGGUGACCAUUGGCCUAGUCCAGGCCCUGUCUGCCCACCUUAAGCUCAACUCCUUUGCCUGUCUCCGACAGCCUUCCCAGGGACCCACCUUUGGGGUUAAAGGGGGAGCUGCUGGAGGGGGAUAUGCCCAGGUCAUUCCGAUGGAGGAGUUCAACCUCCAUCUGACUGGUGACAUUCAUGCCAUCACAGCAGCCAAUAACCUUGUGGCAGCAGCCAUCGAUGCCAGGAUGCUGCAUGAAGCGACGCAAUCAGACAAGGCCCUGUUCAAUAGACUGGUCCCUUCAGUGAAUGCAGUCAGAAGAUUUUCACCCAUCCAAAUCUCCAGGCUACGCCGUCUAGGAAUCAAUAAAAUAGACCCUGCAUCUCUCACACCCCAGGAAGUCAGUGCCUUUGCCCGUCUUGAUCUUGACCCUUCCAAGAUCACCUGGCAGAGAGUUGUUGACACAAAUGACCGUUUCUUGAGGAAGAUCACAGUUGGACAGGCAAGCACUGAAAAAGGACACAUCAGAGAGACUGGGUUCGACAUUGCAGUGGCCAGCGAGAUCAUGGCCAUCUUGGCUCUGGCAGACAGCCUGGAGGACAUGAAAAACAGACUGGCGCGCAUGGUGGUGGGGACCAGCCGCUCUGGACAGCCUGUCACCGCAGAGGACCUGGGUGUGAGUGGAGCACUGGCGGUGUUAAUGAAAGAUGCCAUCAAGCCCACUUUGAUGCAGACCCUCGAGGGUACACCAGUGUUUGUCCAUGCUGGGCCCUUUGCCAACAUCGCCCAUGGCAACUCCUCAGUGCUGGCGGACAAGCUGGCUUUGAAGUUGGUUGGACAGGACGGCUUUGUGGUGACAGAAGCUGGUUUUGGAGCAGACAUCGGGAUGGAGAAGUUCUUCAACAUCAAAUGUCGGGCUUCAGGGCUGAGGCCAAAUGUGGUGGUGCUGGUUGCAACUGUGCGAGCGUUAAAGAUGCAUGGCGGAGGCCCAAAUGUGUCAGCAGGCGCACCUCUUCCUAGAGAGUACAUUGAUGAGAAUCUGAGCCUAGUUGCAGGUGGUUGCCAUAGCAAUCUCAGGAAGCAGAUCCAAAUAGCACACCUGUUUGGGGUACCAGUCGUGGUGGCGCUCAACGUCUUCAAGACUGACACCCAGGCAGAGAUCAACCUUGUGUGUCAGCUAGCAAAAGAGUGCGGAGCAUCUGACGCUGUGCCAUGUCAUCACUGGGCACAGGGCGGGCGAGGUUCCCUAGAGGUGGCCCAAGCUGUGAAUGAGGCUGCCAGCAGACCCAGCAACUUCCAGUUCCUGUACAACAUAGAGAUGCCGAUAGUAGAGAAGAUCAGAACAAUCGCUCAAAAAGUGUAUGGGGCUGAUGACAUUGAACUGUCUCCAGAAGCCAAGGCCAAGAUAGAUUACUACAAUCAACAGAGCUAUGGGUCAUUGCCCAUCUGCAUGGCCAAGACUCACCUGUCCCUGUCCCACAUGCCUGACAAGAAGGGUGCACCCACUGGAUUCGUUUUGCCAAUCAGAGAUGUUCGUGCUAGUAUUGGGGCUGGCUUCAUCUACCCACUUGUUGGGACGGUCCUCUAAAGUCUGCUGAUAUGCGCUCCAGAUCAACGUCAACAUGAACAGAACCUGACGGUGCUCCAUGAUGAAAUUUGGAGGGAUGAGCACCAUGCCUGGUCUGCCAACCCGACCCUGUUUCUAUGACAUCGACCUAGACCCGGUCACAGAGGAGAUCACUGGGCUCUUCUAAGCAUGCUCCAAUUAAAGAUGUCAUAUAGGCUCCCUGCUCUGUUCUCAGGACCCUCAGCCCCAUGCGUGCACCAUCAAGCUCAUCCAUCCCCUCUACCUUUGACAGGAAAUGCUUUCUUACUCUUCCCACCAACCCUAACUCUCCCCACAUCACGGUAACAUGUCCUGGAAAAAAAUAACUGAUUACUGAAGCAUUAGCUUUAUGCAGUAUUUGCACAUCUGUGUGAUAUGCCAAAGAUGACCUCCUACAGCCAUAUUGUGUAUACAGUAUAUGCUGUAUGUGUAUUCUUUUGGCCUCUCUGUAUGAUGUUUUCUGUGUAUGAAACAGUCAGUUUAAGUCUUCAAACCAUCUUGAAUUUGACUUUAAUGUUGUGUUUUCAUAGACUUCGAAUUUCAUUGUUUCAUUUCUGCAUUUUUAUACAUGUCUUAAGCUUUUUAAUUGAAAUGGGCACGGCUUGUGUAUUUAUUAACUAAUGCUGUUGUACGCACAAAUUGCCAUUAUGGUGUUUAUGUGACAGCUAGUGUCCUAACCUAAAUCACGAAAGUCUAAACCGAACUUUAUGCAAAGAGUGUGGAACUAACACAAAUUUAGUAUUGACAACAAUUGUAUGUUAAACAUUUCAAUCAAAAGUUGUGCCUUCAAAUAAACCUCUUAUUUACUCCAAAA